RNAcentral lists this non-coding RNA (32 nucleotides) under Mus musculus (house mouse). The record is from RNAcentral. Lineage: Eukaryota; Metazoa; Chordata; Mammalia; Rodentia; Muridae.
UNGGGCCUCUCCUUUAGGAUGCAUUGUGCAUG